Molecule: ribosomal RNA, 843 nt
Filed under: uncultured archaeon
Lineage: Archaea
Description: bacterial SSU rRNA
Rfam family: Archaeal small subunit ribosomal RNA
Source: RNAcentral
GGCUCAGUAACACCGUAGUUCAACCCUGCCCUGGAAGACGCGGAUAAACCCGGGAAACUGGGGCUAAUCCGUGAUAGAUGACUUCAUCUGGAAGGAGAGGUCGUCCAAAGGGCGGUACGGGUAUGCUCCGUGCUUUUCGCUCCAGGAUGGGACUGCGGCCGAUCAGGCUGUUGGCGGGGUAAUGGCCCACCAAACCUGUAACCGGUACGGGCUUUGAGAGAAGGAGCCCGGAGAUGGACACUGAGACAAGGGUCCAGGCCCUACGGGGCGCAUCAGGCGCGAAAACUUCGCAAUGCGCGAAAGCGUGACGAGGCUAGUCCGAGUGCCUUCCGCUGAGGAGGGCUUUUCUCGGCUGUAAAUAGGCCGGGGAAUAAGGGGAGGGCAAGUCUGGUGUCAGCCGCCGCGGUAAUACCAGCUCCUCGAGUGGUCGGGACGAUUAUUGGGCCUAAAGCACCCGUAGCCGGUUCCGUAAGUCUUCUGUUAAAUCCAGUCGCUCAACGGCUGGCCUGCAGAGGAUACUGCUGGACUAGGAGGCGGGAGAGGCGGACGGUACUCCGCGUGUAGGGGUAAAAUCCCUUGAUCCGCGGAAGACCACCAGUGGCGAAGGCGGUCCGCCAGAACGCGCUCGACGGUGAGGGGUGAAAGCUGGGGGAGCGAACCGGAUUAGAUACCCGGGUAGUCCCAGCCGUAAACGAUGCGAGCUAGAUGAUUCGAUCGCAGUUCGCGAUCGAAGUGUCGCAGGGAAGCCGUUAAGCUCGCCGCCUGGGGAGUACGGUCGCAAGGCUGAAUUGUCGACGAUUCUUUCGUCGGCACAGUUCACUUAAAGGAAAUUGGCCGGGGGAG